GCGUUGGUGGGUACAGUGGUGAGCAUAGCUGCCUUCCAAGCAGUUGACCCGGGUUCGAUUCCCGGCCAACGCA
This is a non-coding RNA of Ornithorhynchus anatinus (platypus), 73 nucleotides long. NCBI's taxonomy places the organism in Eukaryota, Metazoa, Chordata, Mammalia, Monotremata, Ornithorhynchidae. The record is from the annotation of a RefSeq genome assembly.